Long non-coding RNA from Dasypus novemcinctus (nine-banded armadillo), 1739 nucleotides. The record is from Ensembl. Lineage: Eukaryota; Metazoa; Chordata; Mammalia; Cingulata; Dasypodidae.
GCCCGCCCUGCGGGGAAAACCCGGGAGCCCGCCUCGGAUUCCAGACGGGGCCCCGUGCUCGGCCGAGAGGAACCUUCCGAUCCCGCGGUCGGCCCCCACGGCGCGGGGUGGGCCCCGCGCCCGUGACAGCGGCGGCUGCAAAGAGGCGCUGAGCCCGCUGCUCUGGGCCGGGAGGGGCGCCUCCAAGGGCAGGUCGCCCAUCCCCAAACACCCCUGGCGCCAGCUGCGUGGCUGCACCCUGCACUGUCCUGGAAGGAGCGGCAGGGUCCCAGCCCCUUCCCUGCUGCGCCGGCUCCUGCGGGCUGCCCCACGGCUGGGGGCCUGCUGGGCAGGGGCAUGGCACCCCCUCGCUGUCCAGAUGUGGGCCUGAGGCCACCAGCCUGGUGACUGCCAUGGCCCUCCUGGGAGUCCGUCAGUGUGGGCGGUCGGGAAGGGGAGCCUCAGGCUCUCGGUGAGGCCCCCUCGCCCACGUGGGCAGGGCAGGGGCCCACCCCGGCUGGGUGGCGGGAGGGCCGCGCCCGCAGGGAGGCUGCCAGCAGCACCUGGCCCCAGGCGGCACACUUGGCCGUGGCUCUCCGCACUGGUGCAGGUGCCGCGCGGGGCAGGUGUGCUUCCCGCUGGGGGAGCAGCGUUUCUGGGCUCACUGGCAGUUGGCUGUGGUGUGAAGAGUGGCGGCCCCGCCCUGACCCUGGGGAGGCGACGGCUGUGGAAGGGGCUGCCGAGCCCCUGCCCUGGCUGCUGGCAGGGCCGGCUGAAGCCGGAGGAGCAGGCCACACCUGGGCGGGCGAGGGGCCAAGGGCCCUGGGGGAGGCCAGCCUCUGGGGGAGCCUCUGCCCAGGCCCUGUGGGUAGUCCGCCUCCCCAGGCAGCCCACCGCCCCCACCCCAGCCGCAGGGGGUAGGUGACAGUGGUGGUGGCCACAGGCCCCAGGUCAGGUGUCUGGAAUCACAGCCCGGGAUCGGGGACGACCGGCGACUCCACCAGCCAGAGACGCGGCAGGUGUGCACAGGCUUUAGUGGGCUCUGCACCUGCCUGGACAAGCUCCCCGAAGUGGCCCCAGCAACUACCGAGGAGGGGGAGAGGACGAGGAAAAAGGGGACGGGGAGGGGAGGGAAACCGCGGAGUCAGGCCUUCACGUUGUAGUUGGGGACCCUGGGGGGCCUCGGGGAGCUUUUCGGCUUUGCAGGCUGAGCCCCGGGGGCCCUGGGGGGCUGAGCCCUCGCCCGGGCACCCAUCUUCACGCCUUCAACGGCAAAGGCCCCCUGCAUCCUGGUGGGGCUCUGGCCGGCGUCUCGGUGGCUGCGGGCUGUGGAAAGCAAGAAGAGGGGCGUGUGGGCAGCUCCCCACGGGAGGCCCCAGGGGGCCACGAGGCGGAGGAGGUGGGCCAAGCCCCGCGGGCUACGCCACUGUGGAGGAGCCCACGCCCCUGCACCCUGGGCUGCGGCACGCUCACGUGACCCCAGGGCGCCCCUCGGGGCUGCGCCUGCGUGUCCUGGCCGGGGACUGUUGCAGCCGAGACAGCACGCCCCUUUCUGUGGCGCCUCGGCCCCCCGGGGUGGGCCGCCCUGGACUUGCUUGCAUAAGCCUCAGCCUUGCUCAAGAGCCACGAGCCACGUUGCUCGCUUCCCUGAUGCCCUUGUGGGACACACCAGGCCUGCUGCCCGGGCCGGGAGGGGCCCGCGCCAGCCUGCCAAGGCCACGCCGUCGGGGCGAGGCGAGCGGCCGGCAGCAGGUGGCCAG